GGCGGGAUAGCUCAGGUGGUUAGAGCGUUGGAUUCAUAACCCAAAGGUCUCGGGUUCAACUCCCGAUCCCGCUACAA
RNAcentral lists this transfer RNA (77 nucleotides) under Niastella koreensis GR20-10. RNAcentral describes it as "tRNA-Met". It matches the Rfam family "tRNA". From Rfam's summary of the family: Transfer RNA (tRNA) molecules are approximately 80 nucleotides in length. Their secondary structure includes four short double-helical elements and three loops (D, anti-codon, and T loops). Further hydrogen bonds mediate the characteristic L-shaped molecular structure. tRNAs have two regions of fundamental functional importance: the anti-codon, which is responsible for specific mRNA codon recognition, and the 3' end, to which the tRNAs corresponding amino acid is attached (by aminoacyl-tRNA synthetases). tRNAs cope with the degeneracy of the genetic code in two manners: having more than one tRNA (with a specific anti-codon) for a particular amino acid; and 'wobble' base-pairing, i.e. permitting non-standard base-pairing at the 3rd anti-codon position. The record is from RNAcentral. Lineage: Bacteria; Pseudomonadati; Bacteroidota; Chitinophagia; Chitinophagales; Chitinophagaceae.